This 1514-nucleotide ribosomal RNA is filed under the name human gut metagenome. RNAcentral describes it as "bacterial SSU rRNA". It matches the Rfam family "Bacterial small subunit ribosomal RNA". The record is from RNAcentral.
AGAGUUUGAUCCUGGCUCAGGAUGAACGCUGGCGGCGUGCCUAAUACAUGCAAGUUGAACGGUUUGUUGCUUUCGGGCAACGAAUAGUAGCGAACGGGUGAGUAACACGUAGGUAACCUGGCCUUUAGAGGGGGAUAACUGUAGGAAACUGCAGCUAAGACCGCAUAAAGAGGACAAGGCAUCUUGUCAAGAAGAAAUAUACUGCAAGGUAUAGCUAAAGGAUGGGCCUGCGGUGCAUUAGCUAGUUGGUGAGAAAAAAGCCCACCAAGGUAAUGAUGCAUAGCCGAUCUGAGAGGAUGACCGGCCACACUGGAACUGAGACACGGUCCAGACUCCUACGGGAGGCAGCAGUAGGGAAUUUUCGGCAAUGGGGGGAACCCUGACCGAGCAACGCCGCGUGAAUGAAGAAGGCCUUCGGGUUGUAAAAUUUUGUUGUUGAGGAAGAAAGGGCAUUAUAGGAAAUGAUGAUGCAUUGACAGUACUUAACGAGGAAGCCACGGCUAACUACGUGCCAGCAGCCGCGGUAAUACGUAGGUGGCAAGCGUUAUCCGGAAUUACUGGGCGUAAAGGGUGAGUAGGCGGUUUAAAAAGUCUGCAGUGAAAGGCAAUGGCUCAACCAAUGCAUGCUGUAGAAACUGAUAGACUAGAGUGCAGGAGAGGUUAACGGAAUUCCAUGUGUAGCGGUGAAAUGCGUAGAUAUAUGGAGGAACACCAGUGGCGAAGGCGGUUAACUGGACUGAAACUGACGCUGAGGCACGAAAGCGUGGGGAGCAAAUAGGAUUAGAUACCCUAGUAGUCCACGCUGUAAACGAUGAGUACUAAGUGUUGGGGGAGAACCCAGUGCUGAAGUAAACACAUUAAGUACUCCGCCUGUGAAGUACGCUCGCAAGAGUGAAACAUAAAGGAAUUGACGGGUGCCCGCACAAGCGGUGGAGCAUGUGGUUUAAUUCGACGCAACGCGAAGAACCUUACCAGGGCUUGACAUACCAAUAAAGGCCCCAGAGAUGGGGAGAUAGAUAUAUUGGAUACAGGUGGUGCAUGGUUGUCGUCAGCUCGUGUCGUGAGAUGUUGGGUUAAGUCCCGCAACGAGCGCAACCCUUGUCGAUAGUUGCCAACAGUAAGAUGGGGACUCUAUUGAGACUGCCUCUGUAAGGAGGAGGAAGGUGGGGAUGACGUCAAAUCAUCAUGCCCUUUAUGUCCUGGGCUACACACGUGCUACAAUGGGUAGGACAAAGAGCAGCGAGCCCGCGAGGGGGAGCGAAUCUCAUAAACCUAUUCUCAGUUCGGAUUGGAGUCUGCAACUCGACUGCAUGAAGAUGGAAUCGCUAGUAAUCGCGAAUCAGCAACGUCGCGGUGAAUACGUUCUCGGGCAUUGUACACACCGCCCGUCAAACCAUGAGAGUCGGAAAUACCCGAAGUCAUUAUCCUAACCCGCAAGGGAGGGAGGUGCCUAAGGUAGAGCUGAUGAUUGGGGUUAAGUCGUAACAAGGUAUCCCUACGGGAACGUGGGGAUG